AAGUCGUAACAAGGUAACCGUAGGUGAACCUGCGGUUGGAUCAUUAAUGAAAAAUUUAUUGAUUUUUUCCUUCCCUAAUUUUAGGGAGGGGAAUAUCAUUAAACACCCUUUUUUGUGAACUUUUUUUAAAUUGUCUCUUGAUGUGGUAACGGAACUUAUUUUUUUCUGGUUCUUAAUGUGGGUAUUGCUUUUUGUAAUCCCCCCUAGCCCAUCAGUGUUAAGCAUUUUUAUUUUAAUACCAAGUCUUUGAAAGAGAAUUUUUUUUUAAAAAAUAAAAAACAACUUUUAACAACGGAUCUCUAGGCUCUCA
Molecule: unclassified non-coding RNA, 310 nt
Filed under: fungal sp.
Lineage: Eukaryota; Fungi
Description: partial internal transcribed spacer region
Rfam family: Eukaryotic small subunit ribosomal RNA (bases 1-46)
Source: RNAcentral